This is a long non-coding RNA of Trifolium pratense (red clover), 5151 nucleotides long. RefSeq lists it as uncharacterized. NCBI's taxonomy places the organism in Eukaryota, Viridiplantae, Streptophyta, Magnoliopsida, Fabales, Fabaceae. The transcript is spliced from 8 exons. The record is from RefSeq and is a predicted model, not a curated record.
GGUUGUGAUGCAGAGGAGGUAACUAGAAGCAAUAUGUAACACAUGCAUUGGGUCCAAUGACAUAUGUAUUUCUCUUUUCCCAAAUUUUUUUCAUUUGUAAUGUUUUUUUCUCUCUCUUCUCUCCCUCUCUCUCUCGUACGCUCUCUCUUUUCUCACCAUCACUUUCAUCUCUCCUCCCUGCCUCAUCUCCUCCUCCACCACCGCAUCCACCACAACCUCCACCACCACCUACAAAUCGAUCUCCGAAUCAGAACGUCCUCUCCGCUUCCGGUGAUGCCGCCGUCAUCAGACUCACGUUAUUCUUCCUCUCAGGUUCCUCGUGUCAAUUUGCUCAUAAACUUUGUAGAAAUCAUAACUCUUAUUGCUGCAGCUGCAACAGGUACUUUGUUAAUCUUUCUAUGAACUGACAAUAUCUAUAGUUUGGUUAUUUCUGAUCUUUGGUUAAUACUAUUGAUUUUUAUGGUUUUGUUUUAUGAUUUCUACAAAGAUCCAGUUCUGCCAUUGAUUUCCCUAUAUGGGUUUUCAAACUCACAAGUGAUUUUGUGGUAUAAUAGAAAUUGGGAAUUGGAAGAAGUAUGUGAAACCCGUAUUCUGGACAGGGGCUCACUAAAACGGUAACUGCUCUUUCUCUAUAACUCCGAAUUUAGUGUGGUUUGUCUCUAUGGUUAGCUAACGAAAUUCCGGUCGUUCCGACGCCAAUAUUAUGAAUUAUGGAGCUGUAAUGAAUCCUGCAGACGCGUUUGAAGUUCAGGGUCAGGUGCAGAAUUUUGGGUUUGAGGUUAGCAUCAUGAUCAUCAUCUUGAGCUACUGGGAAUUCUAUGGAGUAGCUCAUUUCUUAAAGUUUCUGAGUUAAUCUCAUUCAGGUGGGUUCCUUUAGGAAAAACUCACUUUAAUAGAGUAGCUUUAAUAGUUUUCCCCAAAUUCAAUUAUGCAUGUUAACUUAGGGAUUUAGGAUUAAUUAGGAAAACUCUUGAAUUGAAUUAAUUAAUGACUUAAACAAUACAUAAGCUAAAUUGAACUCUGCAAUAUUUUGGAUUAUUUUGUAGUUUUUUUUUUGUUUGUAGGUUUUGAUAUGUGAUUUCUUAAAUCCAUCAUGGGACAAGAGUGAGUAACAUGAAAUUUGAGUUAAUUCUGGACAGGGGCUCACUAAAACGGUAACUGCUCUUUCUCUAUAACUCCGAAUUUAGUGUGGUUUGUCUCUAUGGUUAGCUAACGAAAUUCUGGUCGUUCCGACACCAAUAUUAUGAAUUAUGGAGCUGUAAUGAAUCCUGCAGACGCGUUUGAAGUUCAGGGUCAGGUGCAGAAUUUUGGGUUUGAGGUUAGCAUCAUGAUCAUCAUCUUGAGCUACUGGGAAUUCUAUGGAGUAGCUCAUUUCUUAAAGUUUCUGAGUUAAUCUCAUUCAGGUGGGUUCCUUUAGGAAAAACUCACUUUAAUAGAGUAGCUUUAAUAGUUUUCCCCAAAUUCAAUUAUGCAUGUUAACUUAGGGAUUUAGGAUUAAUUAGGAAAACUCUUGAAUUGAAUUAAUUAAUGACUUAAACAAUACAUAAGCUAAAUUGAACUCUGCAAUAUUUUGGAUUAUUUUGUAGUUUUUUUUUUUUGUGUGUAGGUUUUGAUAUGUGAUUUCUUGAAUCCAUCAUGGGACAAGAGUAACAUGAAAUUUGAUUUGAGGGUAGUUUUGAUUCAGUUUCAAAAUGGUGGUGAUGUGAAAUGUGGUUCUCUGUUAUUUUAUAUGAUUUGGUAUUUAAGUUUGUUUGCUCUUUUAGAUGUAACCUUUCUAUAAGUGAGAUGGAGAGGAACUGGAUUGGUGGUCCAACAAUGAUACAAUGUCAUGUUUUUCACAUUUUAACCCUUUUUUCUUUCCUUUCCUGGCAGGUUGCUCCAAGGGAUUAAUUUGAUUCUUUAGUUACCUGCUACAAUGGUUUAGUUUGAGCACUUACAAGUAAUUAAUUUUUUUGGAUUGUGUCCCUUUUAAAAUUUCUUUUCUACAUAGCGUGCUAUUGAAUUGUUUGAUCUAUUGAUUGAUUCUAUGGCGUAUGGUAAGGCUGCUAUAAAAUGAUAUGGAAGUGUUACUUAUGAAGGAGAGUAAUCUCCCAGUGUGAUAAUGAAGGUACUACUAAUUUAGUUUACCAUUGAGGCUUAUCUUUUUAUUUUUAUUUUUUUUAUAAUGUGCUUAGUGAUUUAGCUAUGAAGUGAGAAUAUUAAAAUAAUAUUGAUUUUGAGUUUGCAUACUUAUGUCAUGCAUUUUUAAUUUGCUUGGACAGUUUGCAUGCUCUGAAUGUUCCAUGAUUCAAAUCUUUGCAUAAGCACUAUCCAGACAUCAAGUGGCAUGAUUGUAGAUGCAAAAUUCAGAAAAGCAUGCACCUUGUGAUGCUAACUCCUCUUUAAACUCUUUAUUCUAAUUGUGUUUUAUGUUGCUACAAGCACUUAAUAGGCCUAAGCUUCUCUUCACAUUUCUUUGGACUCUUUUAUGCUGCUAUCAUGUGCUUCAUUGUUUAUAACUUCAUUUUGCAUUGUGAUGUUAAUUUGAGACACGGUCAUAUUUUCUUCGAUACAGGGUAAAAAGGCUACUGCUUUUCCUGCCAUGUGCAGCAAGUUAUCAGAUCAGAGUGAAGUAGAAAACAGGGUUGUUGUUGAUGGGACACUAUGCACUAUUUCAUAUCGUUUGAGAUGCCUCGGAACCUCCAUUGAGUUUGCAUUAGUUAUUGUGCAGAAGCUGUUUGGACGCAAUUUAGCUCUAGAACUUGCAAAGACAACAGUGUUCACAAGCCCAUAAUGUAUUUAAAUGAAUAAUACUUUCCUCCUAAUGUAUCAGACAUUUGUGUAUGAUUAUGAAUAACCAAGUAUUUGAAUGAGUUGUAAGUUACUUUCAAUAGCCCAAUUUGCGAUAACUUAAUUUGUAUUUGGAUCCUUUGCAGUCAGAAUUUCGUCGCAGUCAGUCUAUCUAAGCUAUUGAUAGAUAUCAAGUGGUUCGUGGCAUGACUUUGACCGAUCAGAAACUAAAGAUGGAUGUCAAAAUAUACGAUGCUGCAAGAUCCAAAACCAAAACCAGAUUCAAGUAUCUGUUGAAAAGAAAAAUAGGAAAGAUAUAUUUCAAAGAUGGAUGGUAUGAUGGGGGCUUGAAGAAGGUUUUUUUAGUUGGCUAUCUGGUGUGUAUCCUUAUAUGCAGGGAACAAUUUUAGUACUUAACGAUAUACUGGGUUGGGUUUUAAAAAAUAUAUAUAGCUCCAAUCUAAAUUGAAUAUAACAUUAUUUUUGUUAUGUUUUAUUACUGUCUCAGUUGCGGCCUGAUUUAGAUUUGUACGACAUUGUUUGUUUGUGAAGUAAGAGGAGAGUUCCCUACUAAAAGAAAGAAUAGUUUUAGGGAAGAUAAUUUUCUAAUCUAUUUUUCUUACUCAAUAAUUUUUUGAUCUUGGUGUAUAUAUUUUAGGCAUAUGUUUGAGAUGGCAUGCUUGGCUAUUAACAUGUUGAUAUUGUUUUGCAGGAGAUAGCAACCAAAAGUGCAAAUUUUGAGGUAACGAUUAAUACAAAUGAGAGUUUGAAGAGGAUAAAGGCAAGGGGCAGGCUGAGGAAGGAGUGAAGGCAGUGAGAAAAAUAGGAAGAUAAGUAAGGUUAUGGAUGCAACCCUUGAAGAUUUAGAAGGUAAUAGGGUGCAUUGCACUUUGUGGGAUGAUUUUGCUCUAAAUAUGCAGAAAUUCUUGGAUAUACUCAUGAUUCAUCCCUACCUAUGGUAAUCAUAAUACAACUAUGCAAGCUUAAGAAGUACCUUGGUAGGAAAAUACUUCCUUUUCACCUAUUGUUUGAAAUAUAGCUCUGGUGGUUUAUUUUUUUGUUUCCAUUUGAGUAUGUGCUAUGUAAAUUUCAAAUUCUUUUUAUGGAUCAGAAUUGUUGUUGAAUGCUCAGAUUCCUGAAGUAUCUAAUUAUAUAGAAACCUAGAAAGUUGAGUCAAGUGGUUAAUCAAAUGAUCGGACCAGUGAUGCAUAGUGUCGUCGAUGAUUUGCUGUAGACCCCAAAGAUGACUAUUGAGGAUCUCAUUGAAUCUACCGAGAUAAAUUUGGAACCCAUGUUGGUGAAUCAUAAUUGCUACUUUGUAGGGGAGGGGGGAUAGGUAUUUAUGGUUAUUACUAUUUUAUAGGGAUGACUACAUCAUCAUUGCUACUUUUUAGGAAGUCUUGAGUAUCCAACCCUGUAUUUUUGCAUAACUCCUUCACUAGUCCACGCAUAUUUUCUCAUUGAUCAAAUACACCACUCUUCUAAUUUUCUUUUCUAUUCAUCUCCUCUGUGUUUUGUCUAUCCUAUCUCAAUACCAUCUUCGUCUAACCCUUCAUUUCCCAUAUGGCAUCCUAUCUCACAUAAUUAAAUGACUGUUAUAAAACCCAAUCCAGGAAAGAAAGAAAAAAAGUCGGACUCUUAUCUUUCUUGCUUUAGAUGGCUGGCUUUGGAAACAGAGAUAUGACAUGCUUUGUUGUAAUUUUGAAUGCUUUAAUAUACAUUACUUAAUUGCUUCAAUCUUUGCUUAUGAUACUAAGUAAAAAAAAGUUCUCAACAACUUAAAUUAGGGAUAAGUAUGAAGUUUUGAACUUGGAGAGAUUGAUAUGUUUCAACCAAUGUGCAGUCCAAGAUCUCAUAUCUCACAAUGCGUUCGAUCUUUAUUAGAUUGCAAACUCUGUGAAUGUUGGUGGCUCAAAUUAUGUUGAAAGAUUCCUACUUUAAUAGGUUGGCUCAAAUUUUUAGUGGAUGGAGAUAUUAUGAAGAUGAAAUUAGUUGUCAUCCAAGCAUAGACUUUGCAGCAAAGAAAGUAACUGUUGUUGGAGAUGUGACUCAAUUGAGUGUAAUGGCAAGCAUAACAAAGGUGAAGUCUGCAUAAAUUUGGUCAGAAUUUGCUUCACCAAUUGGAGCUACAAGUGGUGCUGCUGAAUAAAGGAAAUAAACUAUAGGUGCUUUCGUAUGCUUUGAGUCUGUAUUAGGUGGUAGUUUAAUUAGUGUAAAUGAGAAUGUUAGCAAGUGAAGUUGUGGCUUUGAAGAGAUAUUGGUAGUUUAUUUAGAAGGAGCUUUAUCUUUGCAUAAGGAUUGACUAUUGAAACCGAUUUUCAUAAUGAGUCUGAUGUGUGGAUAUAAAUAGUGGAUCAUAUAAGUAAAGAUUCAUUUUUUAAA